Molecule: ribosomal RNA, 270 nt
Filed under: uncultured archaeon
Lineage: Archaea
Description: partial 16S ribosomal RNA
Rfam family: Archaeal small subunit ribosomal RNA
Source: RNAcentral
CAGCACCUCAAGUGGUCAGGAUGAUUAUUGGGCCUAAAGCAUCCGUAGCCGGCUCUGUUAGUUUUCGGUUAAAUCUGUAUGCUCAACAUACAGGCUGCCGGGAAUACUGCAGAGCUAGGGAGUGGGAGAGGUAGACGGUACUCGGUAGGAAGGGGUAAAAUCCUUUGAUCUAUUGAUGACCACCUGUGGCGAAGGCGGUCUACCAGAACACGUCCGACGGUGAGGGAUGAAAGCUGGGGGAGCAAACCGGAUUAGAGACCCGAGUAGUCC